GUGUUGACUAUAAGAGUUGCAUUGCUAAGUGACAUGUUGGUGUGGACUAUAAGAGUGUCAUUGCUAUGUCACAUGUUGGUGUUGAGGUAAAGAGUUUCAUUGCUAUGUCACAUGUUGGUGUUGAUUAUAAGAGUGUCAUUGCUAUGUCACAUGUUGGUGCUGUGUAUAUGAGUGUCAUUGUUAUGUCACAUGUUGGUGCUGAGUAUAAGAGUGUUAUUACUAUGUCACAUGUUGGUGUUGAGUAUAAGAGUGUCAUUGAUAUGUCACAUGUUGGUGUUGAGUAUACAAGUGUCAUU
Molecule: long non-coding RNA, 296 nt
Filed under: Mytilus galloprovincialis (Mediterranean mussel)
Lineage: Eukaryota; Metazoa; Mollusca; Bivalvia; Mytilida; Mytilidae
Source: RNAcentral